UGCGGUCAUCCAUAUGAAUCUUCAUAUAAGCUUGAAAUUGAGAUUUGGAGCUAUAUGUUUUUUACCCUAAAGAUGAAGAGCAGUUUAUGGAUACACUGGUAAUCUUUGUUUUUCAGAGUGCUGGUAACAUGAGGGUGUACUCAUCUACAAUUUAAUAUAAUUCUUCUUUCGCAAAAAAAUACUCAGGUUAAAUACUCAAACCUAGCUUAAAAAAGC
RNAcentral lists this long non-coding RNA (216 nucleotides) under Setaria viridis. Its description in RNAcentral is "long non-coding RNA (SVIR_LNC003783)". The record is from RNAcentral. Lineage: Eukaryota; Viridiplantae; Streptophyta; Magnoliopsida; Poales; Poaceae.